CCUUCCAGUGGGUGUUUGACCUAAACGGACGCGGUAAAUCGUGCUAAGGUAGCUAAAUUUUGGCCCAUUAAUUGUGGGUCUUGUGAAUGGUUUGACGAGUUCCCUACUGUCUCAAAGUUGUUUUGGUGAACUUGAAUUGGAUGUGCAAAUGCAUCUGUAGGUAAGAAAGACGAGAAGACCCCGUGAAGUUAGAAAUCUUUAAUCUAGUGUGAGUUUUCAGAUUUGUUUUGAGUUUGUAGGUGUAAACUGAGGCUUUAAAAGUUGGAGAAUAUGGUUUUUAUGUUUUGGCUGGGGCAGCAAGGAGGCAAAGCUAGACCUCCUUUUUUUCGAAACGGGUGCGUUACGACCCAUGAUUUUGAAAGGAAUGAUUAGCAGAAGUAGUUACUCCGGGGAUAACAGCGUUAUCCGUCCUAAUAGUCCUUAUAGACGGGCGGGUUUGCGACCUCGAUGUUGGCUCUGGUUAUCCUGAGGCUUGCAGGAGGUCUCAAGGGUUGGUUUGU
RNAcentral lists this ribosomal RNA (500 nucleotides) under Mimachlamys australis. Its description in RNAcentral is "partial 16S ribosomal RNA". It matches the Rfam family "Bacterial large subunit ribosomal RNA", at positions 1858 to 2580 of the family's 2925-position model. The record is from RNAcentral. Lineage: Eukaryota; Metazoa; Mollusca; Bivalvia; Pectinida; Pectinidae.